AGUGAACGCUGGCGGUAGGCCUAACACAUGCAAGUCGAACGGCAGCACAGUAAGAGCUUGCUCUUACGGGUGGCGAGUGGCGGACGGGUGAGGAAUACAUCGGAAUCUACUUUUUCGUGGGGGAUAACGUAGGGAAACUUACGCUAAUACCGCAUACGACCUACGGGUGAAAGCAGGGGAUCUUCGGACCUUGCGCGAUUGAAUGAGCCGAUGUCGGAUUAGCUAGUUGGCGGGGUAAAGGCCCACCAAGGCGACGAUCCGUAGCUGGUCUGAGAGGAUGAUCAGCCACACUGGAACUGAGACACGGUCCAGACUCCUACGGGAGGCAGCAGUGGGGAAUAUUGGACAAUGGGCGCAAGCCUGGUCCAGCCAUACCACGUGGGUGAAGAAGGCCUUCGGGUUGUAAAGCCCUUUUGUUGGGAAAGAAAAGCAGCAGGUUAAUACCCCGCUGUUCUGACGGUACCCAAAGAAUAAGCACCGGCUAACUUCGUG
RNAcentral lists this ribosomal RNA (492 nucleotides) under uncultured bacterium. RNAcentral describes it as "partial 16S ribosomal RNA". It matches the Rfam family "Bacterial small subunit ribosomal RNA", at positions 29 to 507 of the family's 1533-position model. The record is from RNAcentral.